RNAcentral lists this ribosomal RNA (1346 nucleotides) under uncultured bacterium. Its description in RNAcentral is "bacterial SSU rRNA". It matches the Rfam family "Bacterial small subunit ribosomal RNA", at positions 28 to 1381 of the family's 1533-position model. The record is from RNAcentral.
GACGAACGCUUGCGGCGUGCUUAACACAUGCAAGUCGAACGGAAAGGCCCUGCUUUUGUGGGGUGCUCGAGUGGCGAACGGGUGAGUAACACGUGAGUAACCUGCCCUUGACUUUGGGAUAACUUCAGGAAACUGGGGCUAAUACCGGAUAGGAGCUCCUGCUGCAUGGUGGGGGUUGGAAAGUUUCGGCGGUUGGGGAUGGACUCGCGGCUUAUCAGCUUGUUGGUGGGGUAGUGGCUUACCAAGGCUUUGACGGGUAGCCGGCCUGAGAGGGUGACCGGCCACAUUGGGACUGAGAUACGGCCCAGACUCCUACGGGAGGCAGCAGUGGGGAAUAUUGCACAAUGGGCGGAAGCCUGAUGCAGCAACGCCGCGUGCGGGAUGACGGCCUUCGGGUUGUAAACCGCUUUCGCCUGUGACGAAGCGUGAGUGACGGUAAUGGGUAAAGAAGCACCGGCUAACUACGUGCCAGCAGCCGCGGUGAUACGUAGGGUGCGAGCGUUGUCCGGAUUUAUUGGGCGUAAAGGGCUCGUAGGUGGUUGAUCGCGUCGGAAGUGUAAUCUUGGGGCUUAACCCUGAGCGUGCUUUCGAUACGGGUUGACUUGAGGAAGGUAGGGGAGAAUGGAAUUCCUGGUGGAGCGGUGGAAUGCGCAGAUAUCAGGAGGAACACCAGUGGCGAAGGCGGUUCUCUGGGCCUUUCCUGACGCUGAGGAGCGAAAGCGUGGGGAGCGAACAGGCUUAGAUACCCUGGUAGUCCACGCUGUAAACGGUGGGUACUAGGUGUGGGGUCCAUUCCACGGGUUCCGUGCCGUAGCUAACGCUUUAAGUACCCCGCCUGGGGAGUACGGCCGCAAGGCUAAAACUCAAAGGAGUUGACGGGGCCCCGCACAAGCGGCGGAGCAUGCGGAUUAAUUCGAUGCAACGCGUAGAACCUUACCUGGGUUUGACAUGGAUCGGGAGUGCUCAGAGAUGGGUGUGCCUCUUUUGGGGUCGGUUCACAGGUGGUGCAUGCCUGUCGUCAGCUCGUGUCGUGAGAUGUUGGGUUAAGUCCCGCAACGAGCGCAACCCUUGUUCACUGUUGCCAGCACGUUAUGGUGGGGACUCAGUGGAGACCGCCGGGGUCAACUCGGAGGAAGGUGGGGAUGACGUCAAGUCCUCAUGCCCCUUAUGUCCAGGGCUUCACGCAUGCUACAAUGGCUGGUACAGAGAGUGGCGAGCCUGUGAGGGUGAGCGAAUCUCGGAAAGCCGGUCUCAGUUCGGAUUGGGGUCUGCAACUCGACCUCAUGAAGUCGGAGUCGCUAGUAAUCGCAGAUCAGCAACGCUGCGGUGAAUACGUUCCCGGGGCU